AUGUGCUCAAACGUUUGAGAAGCCUUGGUGGAUAGAAGUACUAUGGUGCUAAUUCAUAGGGACACAAAUGGUUGGAUGAACAUCUUCUGUAUUGAAGAAUGAAAUGAGUCAAUAAAAGUUAGUUAGCAUGGUUUGGUUAGUUACAAAUUCUGUUACAGUCAGGAAGUAAAGUAGUUAUGACAGUUAUUUGGCCUUAAAGUUGCAAUCACAUAGUGCAUACUUACAGUAUAAGUGAUAGGGGUUAGGGAACUCAAUUCUCAUAGACCAUUACCUAUGUGCACAUGAAUUCAACAAUGUAGAUGUGCUUCUCAAUAACUUGCUCAAUAUUACAGACUUGAAUUGAAUGAUACUUUCUCUGAUGUGAAGACUCAUGUAUUUCUCAUGGAUCCUCUAACUUUGAUUAACCACAUUCAUUCUUUUGUUAUUCAAGAAGAAAGCAACCGCAAAAAUAUGAUUAAAAUUGAAGACAAUUCUAUUUUGGUUAAUGUUACACAAAGACCUGAUUUCAAUCACAGAAAACUUUCAUAAGAAUUCAAAUAGGGUAUGCACUUUCUUUCA
Molecule: long non-coding RNA, 558 nt
Filed under: Lathyrus oleraceus (garden pea)
Lineage: Eukaryota; Viridiplantae; Streptophyta; Magnoliopsida; Fabales; Fabaceae
Description: Pisum sativum (pea) long non-coding RNA (PSAT_LNC004199)
Source: RNAcentral